RNAcentral lists this unclassified non-coding RNA (790 nucleotides) under Hevea brasiliensis (rubber tree). Lineage: Eukaryota; Viridiplantae; Streptophyta; Magnoliopsida; Malpighiales; Euphorbiaceae. The record is from RNAcentral.
CCCAUUGAAUUUGCUGUGGUCGGUAAGUGUUUAAUCAUUAGUUGCUCAUCAAUUAUUUAGCUGUUUAUUUCUAAUUGGUGCUUUAAGUUUAAGCAACAGCCCAACAAAGGCGAAGAAAGAAAAGUGUACAGUAAUAAUUUGGAAUUCUUGGCGUCUACAACUAGUGUUCUAUAUCUUUUUCUUUUGUUCAUUUGCUUUUUAGCAGACAUCAGGCAAGCAGAGGCUGGAGGCCUCUGCAAAUUAUUAGACUAAAUUUUAGUACUUUAGCACUAUGUUUCAUAUAUUUUAUGAAUCAAUCACUUUCAAAUUAAUUUUCUGUUUAAAUAAUAAUAAUAUGUAAAAGAAAAUUAAAAAGUAAUAAAUAAGUUUAAGGUUUAAAUAUAAUGGUCGUUUUCUCAUUUUAGAUGUCAAGUAAAUAUUCAGAGUUUUAGAUCACAAAAGUUGACUAUUAAAUUAAUUAGUUCAGGUUUCAAAUCAAAAGACAACCUACCAGCCUUCUUCUUUUAGGGACAAGUUACCUUAUAAUGAAGGGAGCAAUUCCCCCCUCUUAUUGUUUUUUUAAAUUAUUACUUUAAAAAUAUUAUAUUUAGAAAUUUCAUCUCUUAAAAUUUAAUAUUUCCCCUUAAAAUUUAAUAGUUGCUACCUCUAAAUUUUAACUUAAGUAAAAGGAUCAAGAAAUAUUUUAGUUUUUGUCCUCUUUAUACUUUUAAAAAAAUGACAAAAUAAAAUUAAUUGUAUUUCAUUUAUUUUUUUAAUCACAAUUCAUGGAAAAAGAAAACAAAAGAGUUGA